This 822-nucleotide long non-coding RNA is filed under the name Rattus norvegicus (Norway rat). RNAcentral's name for it is "long non-coding RNA NONRATT024694". The record is from RNAcentral. Lineage: Eukaryota; Metazoa; Chordata; Mammalia; Rodentia; Muridae.
CUUGACGGAGCCGUUAAAUGCAGGAGCCGAUGAAGCUUACGUUUAUGGGCUCUUGUCCUCAAGGCCUCUCCAGAGGGGCCAGGCUUGAGUUUCUUCUAUAGGCCUCUUAGGGGCAGGUUGGGGGCAGGGACUCCCAUCCCUGACCAGCCACAGGGAUGGGCUCAAGAGCUGUGGUCUCUGGGUUUCCGGCAGCAGUGGCCUCUCAGUCUGGCUGGACAGCCUGAAUUCCAGGGGCUGGCCCCUCUGAAGGUGGUCCGGGGAUUGUUCUCGCUCCUGGCUUGGGUGCCCGGCCUUGUGUUACUCUGGAGCGGAGUCUAUGCCGAUUCUGCUCUGGACUGCUGAGGGGAGGAGACAAUGAACACUGUCCUUCUAGAACACUGUGUUCCAGCAAGGUGGGAGCCCCAGGAAGAUGGCCCAGGCCUCGGGAGUGGUUGUCUGAGGGAGAAGAGAUGGUCAAAGAUGCUGUUUCAGCCAAGAGGUGUGGAGGUCAGAACAUCUGCUGGAAUAGAAGGCUGGAGAGCGACGGUCGCUGGGGUGGCUUGGCACACCUGUGGCUGCACCCAAGGAGGAAUGACCUCAGGAAAGACUGUCCCCCACCGUCCAGGUACCUGGAGGACAGGUCACUCAGCAUCUGUAACUGUGCCCUUCUGAAGGUGGCAUUGCCUCCCAUCAGAGCUGGUGAGGGCGUGGCCGCUCAGCACACCUGGUGCGGACAAGGGGGGCGGACUGGUGAAUUAUUUAGAAUUGCCAAAGGUGUCGAGUUAGCAGCUAAUUAAAAAAAGCUAUCCUCUGUGCAACACUAUAAAAGAAUCAUAAAAUUCC